AUUUAUUUAGUAUAACACUGAAAUAUAUAUUUAAACAAAACUUUUUAUACUGACCAUUGUUCUCUUCAGACUCAAAUUCAGUUGCUGACAGCAACUCAUCCAUAUUCGUUGCAGUCUUGCAGUCUGUGAUGAUGUUUGGCUUGAAGAAAGUUGACCACUUGGACAGGAACUUCUGAGACACUUCGUCACCAAACAUCAUUGAGAAAUCCUGGUCGAUCUACAAACAAGGAAAACAAUAUUUUAAUAUACAGGUUCAAGCAUACAUGACAAAAUGAAUGAAAGGUCAAAUACUGAAAUGGAAGAUUGAAAAGAAGAUUAAAGAGAUUAUAGUAUAGUGCAGACAGAUAUUAUAUUGUCCUGCACUGGACUAUAUUACUGUUCUACACUGGACAACUACAACCAAAGCAAAAGAGUUUUCUUACCAAUCCAGGUACAUCAAGAAAACGAGGGAACACAUCCAGGACUGAAGAUGAUGCAUCAUCCCCAACCAUCUUCUGUCGAUACUGGAAAGUCGCUCUCAUCUUCUCUUUGACCACAGAUUCAUCGCUGGAAUGUCUUAUUGUAGAUAUCGCCUCCCUGCACUCCUCACCAAAUAGCUGUUGGCAGGUUGACAGAGAUUCUCGCCUGGUUUUUGGACCAUCCUGAAGAACGGUCUUGGAACGACCCCGCAAGCCAGCAAAGGUGUUGCGUUGAACCGUCUUGAUCCUCCAUGAAAUGAAGCCGAUAUAACUUACAUAUCCAAGUUUGGAGAAUGGAUCACGGAGGUAUGGAAAAAGAGUCACAAUUCCCAGUGCAUAAUUGGUCCUUACACUUGACGGUGGAACCCUCCUUUAAAAAUAAGUCAUAGUUUACUUUUAAGCAUGUAUGUUUUGUAAGAAUAAAUACACCUUUACCACUUAUACAGAACAGCAUUAUUUAGCUACAACACAUGACAUGACAUAACCAAGUGACUUGCAAUUCUUACCCAUGUAGCUCUACCAUAUCUGCAACCAGGAUGUUCACCAUUUGUUUACGGGUCGCAUCAGUUAGUGUUUUAGUCUUGUCAUACUCAUUGAAGACUUCUUCACCCUUUGGAUUGGCCCUCAGAACACCCUCAACCAUCUGCCAAGAAAUAUUACAUUGUUAUGGCACGCUUACGAAUAACGGUGGAAUCAGAUGAAUGGGAUAAAGCUGGGGAUAGUGCAGUCUGUGCCACUACCAAGGAUGAAUGGGAUGAAGUUGGGGACAGCGAUGUCAAUACAGAGGAGGAUGCUUGAUCUGCAACCAGCUCAACAUCCAGAUCUACAAAAUGGCAGACAGAACAAAGACAAUUAACAUGUACCUAUCAGUAACAAAACAAUCUCAAUCUUAAAUAAAGCAUUUAAAAAGUACUAAGCAUAUUAUAUUCUUCCUUAAUUACUACCCAGUGAUAGAUCAUAUGUAUUUAAGACAAUGAUCAGUAGUAUAUCAAAUUAUAGCAUAGGUUGAGGUCUCUCAAAAAUAUAUUUCCGACAAAACACUGUGCUUUCUACUUGACGUUGUCUGUGAUACCUCAUCAAACCCCAGCCUUCACAUCCUUACCCAUUACUGGUAAAGGG
Molecule: long non-coding RNA, 1577 nt
Organism: Gasterosteus aculeatus aculeatus (three-spined stickleback)
Lineage: Eukaryota; Metazoa; Chordata; Actinopteri; Perciformes; Gasterosteidae
Source: Ensembl